GUAGGUGACCUGCGGAGGAUCAUUAAUGAGUUUUGAUGUGGGUCUCUUGAGCUGGCUUUGCAGGUGCUCAGAGGCUCCCAUUCUCAUCCACUCAACCCCUGUGCACUUUUGAACGCAAGUGAGUCGUCAGUUCCCCUAAGUUGGGAGUGACUUGAUUUGCUUCGUUUAUUAUAAACUCUUUUUAUGUCUUGUAGAAUGCUUUGCCUCUCUGUAGGCGAAAUGUAAUACAACUUUCAACAACGGAUCUCUUGGCUCUCGCAUCGAUGAAGAACGCAGCGAAAUGCGAUAAGUAAUGUGAAUUGCAGAAUUCAGUGAAUCAUCGAAUCUUUGAACGCACCUUGCGCUCCUUGGUAUUCCGAGGAGCAUGCCUGUUUGAGUGUUAUGUUAUCCUCAAUCCCCUUGGUUUUGUUAAAAUAAGACCUCUGGGUUUGGUUUUGGAGGCUUAUGCUGGCUUCACAGUCGGCUCCUCUUGAAAGCAUUAGCUGGGCUUUUGCUCGAUGCAAUGGUGUAAUAAUUAUCAUCACCAGUGCAGCUUGCAGUCAAAGCUUGCUUCUAAUUGUCUCAAUGUGAGACAUUGUAAGGACUUUGAUCCUUUGACAUUUUUGACCUCAAAUCAGGUAGGACUACCCGCUGAACUUAAGCAUAUC
RNAcentral lists this ribosomal RNA (647 nucleotides) under Fuscoporia senex. RNAcentral's name for it is "eukaryotic LSU rRNA". The stretch from base 229 to 382 matches the Rfam family "5.8S ribosomal RNA". Lineage: Eukaryota; Fungi; Basidiomycota; Agaricomycetes; Hymenochaetales; Hymenochaetaceae. The record is from RNAcentral.